AUGGCGAGCAGGGGGACGGCGGACACGGGGAGCCCGAGCGCGCGUUUGGCGGCGGCGGGGGCGGGGGAGGAGGAGGCCGGGGCGGGGAAGGUGAAGCUGCUGUGCAGCUACGGCGGCCGGAUCGCGCCGAGGUCCGGGGACGGGGCGCUGCGCUACGUGGGCGGCCAGAUGCGCCUCAUCUCCGUGCCCCGCGCCGCCUCCUUCGGGGACCUCAUGCGCAAGGUCGAGGCCGUCGACGAGUCCGCCGGAGCCGCCGGCGGGGUGCUCGUCAAGUACCAGCUCCCCGGGGAGGACCUGGACUCGCUCGUCUCGGUCUCCUGCGCCGAGGACUACGACAACAUGCUGGAGGAGUACGAGAAGCUGGCCGCCGCCGCGCCCGACGGCUCCGCCAAGCUCCGGGUCUUCCUCUUCCCGGCCUCCGGGGGCGAGCCGUCCGGCUCCGGCUCGCACCUCGCCGUCGACGAGACCGGGCAGCGCUACAUCGACGCCAUCAACUGCGUCUCCGCGGACGCCGUCGCGGCCAUCCGCCGCAGGGAGAGCGUCGCCAGCGGCGGCUCGUCCGCGCACAACUCCGAGGCCUCCGAGCCCGCCGGCCUCGCUGAAGGUAUGUCGCCGCGGGCCGUGCCGCCCCCUUCCGUCCCGCCUGAAUAUUUGUAUUCAGCUGGGAGCCACACCAACCAUGCUAGUCCCUUUCCGCAGUCGCUAGGAUUUAGUGCUGUCGCAGCGUCAGCUCCGGCAAUGGGCAUUCCGGCGCACAACCCCUUGUUGCUUAGGUCGGAGCCACAACCGCUGCAGCCUCAUCAGGUUGCCUCCUAUGCGCCGCCGCAUCAACCGGCUCCGGUUGCCUCUUAUGCACAGCAUCAGCAGCCGGCUCAACAGGCUGCCUCUUAUGCGCCGCCACUUCAGCCUCAGGUUGCCUCUUAUGCGCCGCCGCAGCAGCCUCAAGUUGCUUCUUAUGCGCCGCCGCCGCAGCUGCCUCAGGUUACUGCUUAUACUUCGCAAAUGCCACAAUCAUACCUAGAGCCUCAACAAAUCCAGUACGUCAAUGCACAGCAAUUUGGUCUGCAUGGUGUAUCUCAGUCCGCUAAUCUGAUGCCUGCGCACAUGAGCCAGUAUGUGCCCAGUACUCUGGGAACAAACUCCAUGGCGACCACGGGUGCCCAAAUUGGUGCUUUGAGGCCUGUUUCUGCAGGUACAGAACGUGUUCUGGAGAAUCUGCAUUUCACAAGACCAAUGCAAACUGCAGUUGAUCCGAAUUACAGGGUACUGCAGCCACUUUCAGAGCUUCCUCCUCUGCCUCAUACGACUUUGCAGGCAAGUGAUGCUCAGAGAUAUGGCGUCCAGACGGUACUCACAAGCACAGCAAGCUCACCGGUGAUGAUGAGCUCGAGGGCAUUCCCAGUGGUGGUAAGCUCAGCUACUGUGCCAGCAGUGAGGUACGAUGAUUGCACGAUGUGCCAGAAAAUACUGCCGCAUGCCCAUUCGGAUAACAUGAUACAGGAGCAGGGAAAUCCUCGCGCACUGAAUUAUCCUGAUGUUAGUCCAGUGUUUUACAGCCUCCAUCAAGAGGAUGCAACCAAACAACAGGUUCCAGCUGCAGUUCCAGUAACAUCUGCUAAUUACAUAUCAGAACCCAGAGCUGAGAGCACAGCAGGGAUGAUGGCCCAGUUUGAUCCAAAACUUUCUGCCAGAAAUCCAGCAGUUCAAGCAGAACCAUCUCAAGAUGCAGGAGCGUUGGUUCAACCCACCAUGGUUACUGUACCUCUUUCCAGUAUACCUACUUCAAAUGGAGUUUUUGUAGGGCAGCCUCCGCACACGCUUGCUGAAGAUUUUCUCAUGUACCAACGUCAGCAGCAACACCCUUACAGUAUGCAGCCAUCACAAGUCCUGGCAAAUGGAGUCAGUAGCAAUCCACAAGGGAUUGAUGCUAGUGCAUUUAAGAAUUCAAAUCAUCCAGUAGCAGAACCAAUUGGAGAAUAUGCCCAUGAUGUUCCUCAUGAUUAUGUCAGAGCUAUCGAUGCUCGGAUGCAAGGAAUUCAGUUAGGUCCUAUUGCGCCUCCAGAAUCUAUUGUGCAAGGGAAGUCAGCUAUUCCCCAUGGUGCUGCUGGCGAUGGGAUAGUCGAGAAGCCACCUGUUAUUAUUGAUGGCAGUCCCAUAUACAAAUCUCAGGCUGGAGGUUAUCACAUGGGCACUAGCAAUGCUUUUCCUGUUCCUUCUUUUAUCCUAGAUGACAAUGUUGUGAGACAUACUGAACAGCCACCUCCCUCUCGAAAUGUUGGUGCCAACAACGUAUAUCCUGAGAUUGUCCAGCAGCCAAGUAUGUUACUCAAGAACAACCUUGGUGUGCCCAUUGAACAUCCUGUUCCGAGCGAAAGAUUUCUUGUGAGGCCUGCUUACUCUGGUGUUCAGUCUCCUGCUGGACCUCCUGCACAUCAUCCUGGGGAAAUGCUGAAUGGCAUGGUUUCCGCUCCCUAUAAUGUUAGUAGUCAAGUUGUAUUGCAGGCUGCAGCUAGUACUGAUUGUGUCGAAGCUACACGUGAACCAGCUUACACAGAAUCUCUUUUCUCAAACCAGGAUCCUUGGAAAGCAAUUGGAAAUGCUUCGGCAGUACCUCCAACAUCAAACAUGUUGGCUAAGGAACAUGUUCUUUCUGGAGAUCCAUAUGUGGAUGGCCAUGUUCCUGCAAUUACAAGUUCAAAUGCCGCCAUGUUAUUAGAAGAAGGCAAUCUUCCACUCAUUCAUGACCCUACUUUCAAGGAUAUAUAUCCAGAACCUGCACAAAUAAGCAAAGGAUAUGGAGAAGAAAUUGUCAAGCGUCAGUUACAAGCUGUCGCUGAAGGUGUGGCAGCAUCUGUUCUGCAGUCACCAUUUCCUGAAAAACCAACUGAAUUUUCUGGGGAUCACAAAGAUUUGCCUGGAGAUGUAUUUGAUCCAAAAAAUGAGGAUGCGCCGAGCAAACAGUCAGACAAAACAAGCCAAGGAGUUCCAGUUCUAGAUGACAUCGAUAACCUUCAGAUAAUAAAGAACAGUGAUCUUGAAGAAUUGCGUGAACUAGGUUCUGGAACCUUUGGUACUGUUUACCAUGGAAAAUGGAGAGGUUCUGAUGUCGCUAUAAAAAGGAUAAGCGAUCGGUGUUUUGUUGGAAAACCUUCUGAGGAACAGCGCAUGAAAACUGAUUUCUGGAAUGAAGCUUGCAAGCUUUCAUCGUUGCACCAUCCAAAUGUCGUUGCUUUUUACGGUGUUGUUCUGGAUGGACCAGGUGGAUCUGUUGCAACAGUCACUGAGUACAUGGCUAAUGGUUCGCUUCGACAAGCAUUACAAAGACAUGAAAAGAUAUUCGAUAGGCGUAGGCGUCUACUAAUUGUGAUGGAUGUUGCAUUUGGCAUGGAAUAUUUGCAUGGGAAGAACAUUGUGCACUUCGACUUGAAGAGUGAUAAUCUGCUCGUCAACCUAAGAGAUCCCCAACGCCCUAUAUGCAAGGUCGGUGAUUUGGGCUUAUCAAAGGUUAAAUGCCAGACACUAAUCUCUGGUGGGGUGCGAGGGACACUUCCCUGGAUGGCUCCUGAGCUGUUAAAUGGCAGCAGUAACCUUGUUUCUGAAAAGGUCGAUGUCUUCUCAUUCGGAAUAGUGAUGUGGGAACUUCUUACUGGUGAAGAGCCUUAUGCUGACUUGCAUUACGGCGCCAUCAUAGGUGGGAUCGUGAACAACACCCUGCGGCCUCUGGUGCCCGAGUCAUGCGACCCCCAGUGGAGAUCGCUGAUGGAGCAGUGCUGGUCGGCCGAGCCGACGGAGCGGCCGAGCUUCACGGAGGUCGUCAAGAGGCUACGGGCCAUGGCGACCUCCCCCACCAAGGCGCCGCCGCAGAAGUAG
Molecule: ribosomal RNA, 3870 nt
Filed under: Triticum aestivum (bread wheat)
Lineage: Eukaryota; Viridiplantae; Streptophyta; Magnoliopsida; Poales; Poaceae
Description: partial small subunit ribosomal RNA
Source: RNAcentral